This 492-nucleotide ribosomal RNA is filed under the name uncultured bacterium. Its description in RNAcentral is "partial 16S ribosomal RNA". It matches the Rfam family "Bacterial small subunit ribosomal RNA", at positions 28 to 507 of the family's 1533-position model. The record is from RNAcentral.
GAUGAACGCUAGCUACAGGCUUAACACAUGCAAGUCGAGGGGAAACGGCAUUGAGUGCUUGCACUCUUUGGACGUCGACCGGCGCACGGGUGAGUAACGCGUAUCCAACCUUCCCAUUACUGUGGGAUAACCUGCCGAAAGGCAGACUAAUACCGCAUAGUCUUCGAUGACGGCAUCAGAUUUGAAGUAAAGAUUUAUCGGUAAUGGAUGGGGAUGCGUCUGAUUAGCUUGUUGGCGGGGUAACGGCCCACCAAGGCUACGAUCAGUAGGGGUUCUGAGAGGAAGGUCCCCCACAUUGGAACGGAGACACGGUCCAAACUCCUACGGGAGGCAGCAGUGAGGAAUAUUGGUCAAUGGACGGAAGUCUGAACCAGCCAAGUAGCGUGCAGGAUGACGGCCCUAUGGGUUGUAAACUGCUUUUGUAUGGGGAUAAAGUUAGGGACGUGUCCCUAUUUGCAGGUACCAUACGAAUAAGGACCGGCUAAUUCCGUG